This 198-nucleotide ribosomal RNA is filed under the name uncultured bacterium. RNAcentral's name for it is "partial 16S ribosomal RNA". It matches the Rfam family "Bacterial small subunit ribosomal RNA", at positions 328 to 539 of the family's 1533-position model. The record is from RNAcentral.
ACGCUCGACACCUACGGGAGCAGCAGUGGGGAAUAUUGCACAAUGGGGGAAACCCUGAUGCAGCGACGCCGCGUGAGUGAAGAAGUAAUUCGUUAUGUAAAGCUCUAUCAGCAGGGAAGAAAGUGACGGUACCUGAGUAAGAAGCCCCGGCUAACUACGUGCAAGCAGCCGACGGUAAUCUGAGCGGGCUGGCAAGGC